Molecule: long non-coding RNA, 328 nt
Filed under: Mytilus galloprovincialis (Mediterranean mussel)
Lineage: Eukaryota; Metazoa; Mollusca; Bivalvia; Mytilida; Mytilidae
Source: RNAcentral
GCUUUCUCAAAGAAACUUUUACAGUGUGUUGUACUACUUUUGGGACAAAUUAUAUCAAAAUUAUAGAAAACUUCAUCAGCUCUAACUCAAAAUAUGGACAAUUUUAUGUUUAGGGCGUCUUGAAAUCUUUUGACAGCUUCCAAAGUGCUAAUUUUCAACCUUUUUCAGCUGGACCAAAUCACUACUUUCCUUUAAAAUUCUGGACCCAAAUUUUUUUACAGUGUAAUUUCACCCCCCUACUUGCAAUUUGAGGCAUUAAACAUGGAGAAAUAAAUUUGGAAGGGGUAUAAAAGUUAAUGGCAAGUAAUCCACUGUCAACACUAGGGAC